GGCCCCAUCCGCUGCCGCGGGGCGCGAAGGGAUGCAGGAGCCGGAGAGGGUGUAGGCAGGGAGGCCACGGUCCUGGCAGGCGACCAGGGUGCGCAGGUCCCAAACCAGCCCUCAUCUCCUGGUUGGAACGAAACACCGAUGACUGGGAACCGGCUGCUCUAGAUCCGCAGGAGUACCCGAGAGGGCUAACAGUCCAGAGAAAAAGCAGAACCAGAAAGAAGAAUGGGGAGAAGGAAGUAUUCCCGCCUAAGGAGGCACCCCGAAAGGGGAAGCGAGGCCGGAGGCCCAGCAAACCCCGACUGAUUCCUAGGCAGACGUCCGGGGGCCCCAUCUGCCCUGACUGCGGCUGUACCUUCCCUGAUCAUCAGGCCCUGGAGAGCCACAAGUGCGCCCAGAAUCUAAAAAAGCCUUACCCUUGCCCAGACUGUGGGCGCCGCUUUUCCUAUCCAUCCCUGCUGGUCAGUCACCGGCGGGCACACUCCGGCGAGUGCCCCUAUGUUUGUGACCAGUGUGGCAAACGUUUCUCCCAGCGCAAGAACCUCUCCCAGCACCAGGUCAUCCAUACAGGGGAGAAGCCCUAUCACUGCCCUGACUGUGGUCGC
This 602-nucleotide long non-coding RNA is filed under the name Homo sapiens (human). Its description in RNAcentral is "non-protein coding lnc-ZNF785-3:5". The record is from RNAcentral. Lineage: Eukaryota; Metazoa; Chordata; Mammalia; Primates; Hominidae.